This 465-nucleotide ribosomal RNA is filed under the name uncultured bacterium. RNAcentral describes it as "partial 16S ribosomal RNA". It matches the Rfam family "Bacterial small subunit ribosomal RNA", at positions 28 to 507 of the family's 1533-position model. The record is from RNAcentral.
GACGAACGCUGGCGGCGUGCUUAACACAUGCAAGUCGAACGGAAAGGCCCUGCUUGCAGGGUACUCGAGUGGCGAACGGGUGAGUAACACGUGUGUGAUCUGCCCUGCACUUCGGGAUAAGCCUGGGAAACUGGGUCUAAUACCGGAUAGGAGCCAUUUUUAGUGUGAUGGUUGGAAAGUUUUUUCGGUGUAGGAUGAGCUCGCGGCCUAUCAGCUUGUUGGUGGGGUAAUGGCCUACCAAGGCGGCGACGGGUAGCCGGCCUGAGCGGGUGGACGGCCACAUUGGGACUGAGAUACGGCCCAGACUCCUACGGGAGGCAGCAGUGGGGAAUAUUGCACAAUGGGCGCAAGCCUGAUGCAGCGACGCCGCGUGGGGGAUGACGGCCUUCGGGUUGUAAACUCCUUUCGCUAGGGACGAAGCUUUUUGUGACGGUACCUAGAUAAGAAGCACCGGCUAACUACGUG